Long non-coding RNA from Stegodyphus dumicola, 154 nucleotides. NCBI's taxonomy places the organism in Eukaryota, Metazoa, Arthropoda, Arachnida, Araneae, Eresidae. The record is from RefSeq and is a predicted model, not a curated record.
AAUGGCAGCUGAAAAAUUUUGACCCUUGUUUCUGGAAGUGAAAUGUUAGAUGGUUUGAUGAAGUGCCACAGAGAUUAUCGCUUAAAGAAUGCGUGCAGGCCAACCACCAACACAAGAUAUUAAAAGAGCAAUGAAAAUGAAGAUUUAACUAUAA